RNAcentral lists this microRNA precursor (64 nucleotides) under Bombyx mori (domestic silkworm). Its description in RNAcentral is "mir-2774 microRNA precursor family". It matches the Rfam family "mir-2774 microRNA precursor family". The record is from Rfam by way of RNAcentral. Lineage: Eukaryota; Metazoa; Arthropoda; Insecta; Lepidoptera; Bombycidae.
ACAACAUUCGGACCGUCGGUCUACCGAGCAAUAUCCGCUUAUUGGGAGAUCCUCCCUCCGUCAU